RNAcentral lists this unclassified non-coding RNA (225 nucleotides) under Hevea brasiliensis (rubber tree). The record is from RNAcentral. Lineage: Eukaryota; Viridiplantae; Streptophyta; Magnoliopsida; Malpighiales; Euphorbiaceae.
GUUAUAUUGAGCCAUCUAACGUGUCAUAUGAUAUUUUGUAGUAUUUAUUUGGGCAAAUGAACAGGAAAGGGAUCCACGCAGGACACAACGAACUGGGAAAGUAGAAAGUUGCCCAUGCAUUUUGAUGCUCAGGAUCGAAGAAAAACAAACUGCUACACCUUCUCCCCACAGAACAACCCUCCCAAAAGUAGUAAAUUAAAAUUAAAAAAAAAAACAAAAAAUAUA